UUGCUAGUAAUCGCGGAUCAGCAUGCCGCGGUGAAUACGUUCCCGGGCCUUGUACACACCGCCCGUCACACCAUGGGAGCCGGUAAUACCCGAAGUCAGUAGUCUAACCGCAAGGGGGCGCUGCCGAAGGUAGGAUUGGCGACUGGGGUGAAGUCGUAACAAGGUAUC
Molecule: ribosomal RNA, 168 nt
Filed under: uncultured bacterium
Lineage: Bacteria
Description: partial 16S ribosomal RNA
Rfam family: Bacterial small subunit ribosomal RNA
Source: RNAcentral